Molecule: long non-coding RNA, 3644 nt
Organism: Bombus pyrosoma
Lineage: Eukaryota; Metazoa; Arthropoda; Insecta; Hymenoptera; Apidae
Exons: 3
Source: RefSeq, a predicted model, not a curated record
CUGGUCAGUCUCACGAUGGUAGAAGUAGUUGAAGUUGGAGACGAUGACGGGGACAGGCAGGGCGAUUGUCAACACACCAGCGAUCGCGCACAGAGAGCCCACAAUUUUUCCCCAAACUCCGACGGGCCUGAAGCAGAGGCAAACGUAGAGUUUUAUUCGCGGCCAGCCACUGGCUCGAACGUCGAUAGCUUCGUUCCUCAUCUAGAAACUCGGUGCUAGGUGUGGUGUUUCUAUCUUGUAGCAUGCGAAUUCUUCGGACCGCGGCUGUUGCCGCACCGUCAAACGUCGCGUCGCCUAAUCGUCGAUUGCAAUCACGCGGAUGCUCGCGUCUCGUGCGAGCUACGUCCAUACGGCAGCGACCUCGGUGUCACUGUACUAUGGGCCUUUGUGAUCCAUGACUGAUGGUAGUAGCAAUAAUGAUAGCGUUGUGAGCGAAAAUAGAGACAGAGUACUUCUUAAAAAGGAGCAACACCGUUCACCUUCCUGGGCUGGUAACGAUGAAAAGAACAUGGAGUAUGUUUGGUCGUGGACAGCCAUGCAAAAACGUAUCGAGAAUGUAUCGGGAAUAAUCCGGGAAAUCGGAAUUCGGGACAAAUGUUAGAAAAGAGAUAGAAGAGCUGGAACGUUAGCUCUGCCUUGCCUGGUGUCUCCAACUGGAAACUGGAAUUGUCGGAGUGUCAAUUGUUAUGAAAGUCUGGUCAGAGCGUAGAACGUGGUUUCGAGAUCGGUUCGGUUUCGAAACACAGAUGGAGCCACGCGUUUCUGCCGAUAUCGAUACCUUGGGAUGUAGAGCGAGCGCAAGUAGCAACAGGCGAAGGGUUUCAACGAGAAACUGCGAUCAAUCGCGGUAAUGGGAAGCGAGAAUCGACGUAACGAGACGCGACGUAGCCGAGGGCGGAACACUCAACGAAGCAAGUUGGUUGGACGCGAGAAACCAGCUUCGAUGUAGAAACGUAGAGGAAGCGAGUGACGCCGGUGUCUCGACAAAGGAGUCGAACUCGAUGCGUGUAUCGCAAUGGGAAACUAGAACGGGCCUCUUGCGUGUGCCGCGCACGACGAACACUGCUCUUAUACCGGGUGCUCUACUCAAAUAUCAGGAGUUUCCUUUGAACAUCGUAGUUACACCUUGACAGGAAGUUGAGCUUGCCGAUCGAGUUACUUUGCUUUGCUUGCAUUCUUCCGCAGAUUUGGCAAACGCACCGAUCCACGUGCAACGCGGUCUUUGAUCAAAGUAAAGAAUAUUUUAGCUGUCAUUUCUACAAAUAGUUUUAGGGUGUGCAACCUGCGAAACGUCAAACGCUGCGUAUUUAUCGCCUUGAGCUAUAGUCAGCGGUUUAGGUGGAUGAAGCUUCCAACGAGUUUCUUCUUUUACACAGGUUUCCACGUCGCGUUCAUUGCACCUGUGCGGUUAUUAGCGACGCGAAAAGAGAGAUUUACUAGUUGCAUUCCCCUAAAUAACGAUGUACCUUUCGAAAAGGAGAAGACAUUUGGAACUUUAUUUUUAUCGCGCGAAUUUAACGUUCCUCUCGCCACGAAUGAAACUGAAUCUACGAAUGAAUCUGCGUAUAUGCUGUAUUCGCAGCUUCAGAUACGACAGCUCUGAUAAACCUAGCGUUGUCAAAAAAUAAAUAAAAGAAGAAACGAUAAACCCUGAAAUCGUUAGGUCGGAAAUAUGUAAUUGAAUUUCACUCGAACGAGGCAACAUCAGCAAUGACAAUGCUAAAUAGGACACCCUGUACGCAGACACGGUAUUUAUAUGCGAGAAUAAUCAGCAGUCGCUUCGGUUUCGUUCCCAUUUGUUGAAUUUCAAUGGGACAAACGUGCCGGCUACCUCGCCGUCAGCGUCAAAGUACAACUAGCUCAACCUUAGACUGCAACUUGUAAAGAACCGAGCGUACCUAGUCUCUGUAAUAGUUGAACAAUAGACGUCCUAUGUAAUCACGAUCCUCGGCUCAUACGUAUUCCCGAUAUAACCAAUGGUCGAACCAAUCGCUUGUCCUGGAACGCGUUGUACCGAUCUCCGCCUCCAGCGUUUCCGGUGAAAACGCCGCGCUACCCUUCGCUGCCGUAACGCGUUUAUCGCUGCGAGAUCCGAAUCGUCGCGAUCUGUCAGCCCUUUGGGCUGAGGGCGUUUCCAAGAAACGAACCGGGCCGGUUGCCCGAGGACACUUAUUGAUUUACGGCAGGCAAUUGCUGAAGAAGCCCCUUCGGUCGCAACACCACAGAUCUCAAGCCUCUCUCGACCGGCGCUCUUCAACCUCGAGAGUCUACCGUGAACCACGAAUCUACGUUAUCGAUGCUAUAAUCGCGGGCUGCGUGCGAUCCAGUGCGUUGCCAUUUGUUUCUUCUAUUAUUUUUUCAUCUCUGUUUGAUAUUCCAAGUACCAAGUGGAAAAGACAGGCGUCUAGUAGAGCGGCAAGCAACAACACGGUAUACGUGUCGGAUGAAUUAUCGAUCUGUAUCAUCGGUAACGUGAAACAGAUGCAAAUAAAGAGACGGAAGCCUUGGAGGGCUGGUGAAUGACGCUGGUACGUAUCGUCAGCAGAUCGUGUUCUAUAAAAUGUAACGUACAAAUUCUUUGACGGGCUGAAUGGCGAGGAGAAUGGAACCGAACGAGCAGGGAAACUGUAUCACAGCAUUUCCCUCGGAUUCUCCGGUAUAAUCGAGUUUGCAACGUCGCUUUGACUCGCGAGUACCGUCCUUCUCGCAUUCUUCAGCCCUCAAUUAUUCUUGCAAAGGGUAAUUUGAGCGCGUUAAGCGCGCCACUCGCUUCGAUCCAUAGACGUUCCAACUCGCAGCUGCCGCUUCUCAUCUUUUUCUUCCACGAGAUCGCCCAAAGGUUUCGCGAAUGGGAAGCAGAAAUUUCGGCAGGAUCCGAGGCGACGAACGACGAGUCGAGUGAUCGUCGGCUAUGUGAUAACGAGAAGUGGUAACGUCGUGGCGGAAGGAGGGAAAAAAGGGAGUGGAGAGCCGGGCGAGCGACUGAAUCAGCGCGAACACGCUCGAGGGAUGAAGUGUUCUAGUAGAGCGAAUGAUCGGAAGAGGCUGUAUUUUAAGACGAUUCUCGAGAAAAUGAGACAACGAGAUGUUCCCGUGGCUGCGUUGCUCCUGAGACGAAGCGUGUUCGUGGGAGAAUCUCGAAUUCGUCGUUAUGAUAAUACGAUGGGAAGAAAGCGAACGGACGACGAGGAGGAAAUAGACGACGACGAAGAAAAAGGAGAGAAAAAGAUGAAGAAAAAUAAGAAAAAAGAUUGUCGAUGUAGGAAUAAGUGGGGGAGGGGGGGGGGGGAAGAGAAUGAAAACAUUCCGAUUGCAUGGAGAGAAGUUAGAGCAGCUGUGAAGAAAAGAUGCGGUGGUCAAAAUCGAAAAGACUGAAAACUAGCGUGUUCAAGUUUAUCAAGCGCCAAGUAGGUUGACAAAUUUCAAACGAAAAACUAAGAAAGCGAUCAAACAGAGUGAGAGGAUUGAGAAGGGUAGGACGUGGAAUGGAAGGGACGUGCUUUAAGGAAGAAGAAGCUGAGAAGGAAUACGUAACAGGGAGAAGAAUAAAUCGAGUAGUUAAAAGUAGUUAAGUAAAGUAUCGGAGGAGAGUAAGUAGUAUGUGUUCGUUUGUUUGGCGGGCAUUAACUAGAGUCUUAAGUGAA